GAUGAACGCUGGCGGCGUGCCUAAUACAUGCAAGUCGAGCGAACAGACGAGGAGCUUGCUCCUCUGACGUUAGCGGCGGACGGGUGAGUAACACGUGGAUAACCUACCUAUAAGACUGGGAUAACUUCGGGAAACCGGAGCUAAUACCGGAUAAUAUAUUGAACCGCAUGGUUCAAUAGUGAAAGACGGUUUUGCUGUCACUUAUCGAUGGAUCCGCGCCGCAUUAGCUAGUUGGUACGGUAACGGCUUACCAAGGCAACGAUGCGUAGCCGACCUGAGGGGGUGAUCGGCCACACUGGAACUGAGACACGGUCCAGACUCCUACGGGAGGCAGCAGUAGGGAAUCUUCCGCAAUGGGCGAAAGCCUGACGGAGCAACGCCGCGUGAGUGAUGAAGGUCUUCGGAUCGUAAAACUCUGUUAUUAGGGAAGAACAAAUGUGUAAGUAACUAUGCACGUCUUGACGGUACCUAAUCAGAAAGCCACGGCUAACUACGUG
RNAcentral lists this ribosomal RNA (497 nucleotides) under uncultured bacterium. Its description in RNAcentral is "partial 16S ribosomal RNA". It matches the Rfam family "Bacterial small subunit ribosomal RNA", at positions 28 to 507 of the family's 1533-position model. The record is from RNAcentral.